Molecule: long non-coding RNA, 261 nt
Organism: Strigops habroptila (Kakapo)
Lineage: Eukaryota; Metazoa; Chordata; Aves; Psittaciformes; Psittacidae
Exons: 3
Source: RefSeq, a predicted model, not a curated record
AUGUAGAGAGAGGUAUGUAACUGCAGUUGGAUGGUGGAAAGUAUGGUCAGCCCAGCCUGCCAUACAUGGAAGCAGCCCAUAAGCAGAAGUCUUAAAGCAGGGUGGGGUGAUGCUUUCUCCAAGGACUCGAGGCAUUGUGAGGGCACUGGGUUGAAAGAUAAUCUCUGCACUGCAUUGUGCAGGAAUAGGAAGUUUCUUGGGGGGAGUGUGAUCCACAGGGAGCUUCUUGGCUCAGCACCAGUUCUGGACUAUAAUUGCAUG